CGCUGUGGGGAGUCUGAGGGGGUGGGGUGUUGCUGCGGGACGCGGUUGGGUGUAGACGGCACGGAGAGCUAUGGAAAAGCAGGGAUGAAGCGCUCCAGAAAACAGUGUCAUCGAUUUUAUUUCCCAAUAAACUCCAUGAGCAGCUUAUUUUCAUAUUUGCUCAUGCUGAAUGAACUUUACAGCAAUAUAAUUCCAUUGACUUCUACAGUGCUAUCCUUAUCUGCAUAACAGUAAGCGAUAAUGGAUUAAGCCCAGCAGCUGAACUUUACAUUUAUCUCCCUUCCAGAUUUAUUUGUUUUUAUGUAUUUCAUAAUCACAUAUUUGAUCACGAAUUACUGCACAGAUCCCUGGCUCAUUAAACGUACCAGAAAACUACUGAAGAGUCUUAUAUUGCACAUCCACUUAUACUGGAUGCCUCAAGCUGGCUAGUCUGACUGGAACUCAUCUCAUUCAUCUCCUAAGAGUAAACACCACACCCAGACAAUAAAACUGUGGAAAAAAGACUUCGCUGUUCAGCUUGAACAGAGGCGAAACUUUUUGUAGUAUCUUGGCUCACUUUCAGAUUCCAAAAUAAUAUGGCACAUUAAACUAGGUGACAGAAUACUUAUCCAUGAGCAACUCUGAAGAAGGGAAUCUAAUUUAAUCACAGCAAAUCAACUAAUGACGGAAAUUCUAUUGUAAGAGUACUGCAAUUUUGCAGCACAGAUAAAAUAACAAUUAAGAAAA
This is a long non-coding RNA of Numida meleagris (helmeted guineafowl), 726 nucleotides long. RefSeq lists it as uncharacterized. The transcript is spliced from 2 exons. The record is from RefSeq and is a predicted model, not a curated record. NCBI's taxonomy places the organism in Eukaryota, Metazoa, Chordata, Aves, Galliformes, Numididae.